This 708-nucleotide long non-coding RNA is filed under the name Oryzias javanicus (javanese ricefish). Its description in RNAcentral is "lncRNA (ENSOJAG00000019073.1)". The record is from RNAcentral. Lineage: Eukaryota; Metazoa; Chordata; Actinopteri; Beloniformes; Adrianichthyidae.
CAGUGUUUAAUGGUUCAAAAGCUUAAAACCUGUUUGUGUGUCUGUUUGUUUGUGUGUCUGUUUGUGUGUCUGUUUGUUUGUGUGUCUGUUUGUUUGUGUGCAGGAUGCUUUUUCUGCAGCAAUUUGAGGGGACAAUUUCUGAUGAACUGAAGCAUCUGGAAGAAAACACAACAACACUGAACUCCAUCAACUCUCAGAUUCUGAGUUUUUUCCAGAUGGAGAAGCAACGUCUCGGAGGUUUCUGUGAGAACUUGCAGGAAAGGUUAAAGUCUCUAGAUGUUCGCUGGGCAAAUGGGCUGCAAUCCUCUUGAAGAACUAAAUCACUUCUUAUCUUUAAUUACUUAAUUUGUGUUUCCAGUUUGGGAUAAUUUUUUGUUAAGAAAUACAAUAUUGACCAGAAAGCAAAUCCAUACACUGUCCCAUUUGGUUACCAUGGUUAUGCCAUGAAGAGGGUAAGGAGGUCAGAACAAAAACAUGCAUGCUUUCUCAUCAGGAAGAUGACUGAAAGAAAAUGAAAUAAAGAUUCUGACAAAUGAUUGAGAGAUUUAUGCUAAUGACUGUUUUCUUGUUCACUCUGAUCCUAUAAUAUGUUUCAUAACGGCUGCAUGAGGCAGUGAUGUCAUCAGUCAGAUUUAUUAGCAUGUUGAAGUGCCCUGCUGUUCUGGAAAAAAAAACUAUGUUGGGCAAUACUUAAAUGUUCUUUUAUGA